GGGAGGGAGAGGAACGAAGGAGAAGCAGUUAGAGGAGAUCCACUCACAGGAUUCUGCGUUGUUGAUUUGUGUGUGGAAGUAUCGUGGGUUUUGUCUGCCUCCAUUGUUGCUCGUCUGCUGAAAUAAGUUGUACCCCAGCAGGCCCCUCUUCAGGUCCAGCGGGUUCUCUGCUCCUCCAGCGGGCAGUAUGAAGUGGGUAAGAGCCCCACAAGGCCCCACAAAGGCCCCCAGCCCAGCAAAGCCGUACAGGAAGACGAAAUGAUCAGUAACAAGGCAAAAGACUCCGGUGGGCGGACAUGUUGAAGUGAAGUUGUGGCUGACUCCUCCCCAACACCGGACGCGGGCCAAUCAGCGCUCACCGUUGCCUACGUCACAGCCUCUUGACCAAUAAACGAGCUGGGACACUCAUAUCACCUCCCGCUGCAGGACAGGGACAACAGGCGAGUGUGGCAGGCCAUCAACUGGAAGGGCUGUUCACAGGAUGAUAAUGAUAAUAAAGUUAAGCCUAUUGAUGAAGAAUUUAAGCAUUUUUACGAAGAUUUACUAGGCAUUGCCACAAGCAACCGUGCUGAUCAAUGCCGAGAUGUUACUGUGUCGAUUCCAGUUUUAGACGAUCUGAUCUCCCCUGGUGAGGUCAGUGCCCAGGUGGAUCACAUCAAGGCAGACGAAGCGUGUGGCCCGGACGGCAUCCCACCUGGAGUGUUCAAGCUGUUACCAGUUCAGUGGUUAAUGAUUAUCACAACUGUUCAGUACGAUAUUUGCCACCGCUCAGCACCCUACGUCCUGGACUAGGGCUAAGUUUUCCACUAUAUUCCAGAAGGGUGACCGGAAAGACACACAGAGGACACAAAGAACCAUAGAGGCAUUAGUGUAAUAAACAGCAUUGCUAAAUUAUUUGAUAUGUUUGUAUGUUCAAAAUUAGAGAAGUGGCUCACUCCGUACCGUGAACAAGCUGGGGCACAGAACAGGCGUGGUUGUCUCGAACAUAUUGUAACUUCGCGUAUACUGACCGACUUAGAGAAAGAAAAAUUAUUCGUGACAUUCAUUAACUUGAGCCAAGCAUACGAUCUGGUACCGAGGCACAUGUUUGUACGAAUCUUUAAACGCUUGGGGUGUGGCACGGUGAUGUUGGCUGUUACCGCUGCCAUGUACAGUGUGACCGAGAGCGUUAUCGGCACCGCGGUGUUCACGGCCACGCUAGGAGUGCGACAAGGCUCCCCAACAUCGUGCCUACUGUUCGUUCUUUACGAUAAUGAUUUGAUUAAAUUAAUAAGAGAGAACUGUGAGAACGAUGGGUUUUAAAGUGGCUGCAUGUUUUAAUAUUCAUGGAUGAUGCCGCUUUCCUUGCUACAGCACGCGAAAGAAUGAUCUCCAAGUUAUCUCUAGUGAAGCGAUAUUGCGAUGAUUACGACAUGAAGGUAAAUGAGUCCACCACCAUCACCACCAUCACCACCAUCACCACACCACAUCACUACGUCUCAGCCACACUUGUCUAAAUCUACGACGUAACGCACAUCACACGCGUCG
Long non-coding RNA from Scylla paramamosain (green mud crab), 1527 nucleotides. RefSeq lists it as uncharacterized. NCBI's taxonomy places the organism in Eukaryota, Metazoa, Arthropoda, Malacostraca, Decapoda, Portunidae. The record is from RefSeq and is a predicted model, not a curated record. The transcript is spliced from 3 exons.